This 429-nucleotide ribosomal RNA is filed under the name Chelinidea tabulata. RNAcentral's name for it is "partial large subunit ribosomal RNA". It matches the Rfam family "Eukaryotic large subunit ribosomal RNA", at positions 2520 to 2820 of the family's 3401-position model. The record is from RNAcentral. Lineage: Eukaryota; Metazoa; Arthropoda; Insecta; Hemiptera; Coreidae.
CUUACUCGGUGAGGCGGAAGGCGUCCGUCGGAGUGUCUGCACUCCGGCGCGACGGUAUUCUCGCACCAAGCGCCAAGGGUUGUCGGCGGCCGGUCGGUCGUGGGGAGGCCCGCGGUGAUCCGCUUCGCGGCGGUUCUGCCGUGCGUGUCGUCUCUGCGCUCUUGGUCGCGCCGUCCGGCAACACACUCCCUAGCGUGAUCCGAUCCAAGGACACUACCAGGCGGGGAGUUUGAGUGGGGCGGUACAUCUGUCAAAUAAUAACGCAGGUGUCCUAUGGUCAGCUCAGCGAGGACAGAAACCUCGCGUAGAGCAAAAGGGCAAAUGCUGGCUUGAUCCCGAUGCUCAGUGCGCAUAGGGACUGCGAAAGCACGGCCCAUCGAUCCUUUUGGCUUGAAGAGUUUUCAGCAAGAGGUGUCAGAAAAGUUACCA